AUACGUAGGGUGCAAGCGUUAAUCGGAAUUACUGGGCGUAAAGCGUGCGCAGGCGGUUUUGUAAGACAGAGGUGAAAUCCCCGGGCUCAACCUGGGAACUGCCUUUGUGACUGCAAGGCUAGAGUACGGCAGAGGGGGAUGGAAUUCCGCGUGUAGCAGUGAAAUGCGUAGAUAUGCGGAGGAACACCGAUGGCGAAGGCAAUCCCCUGGGCCUGUUCUGACGCUCAUGCACGAAAUCUUGGGGAGCAAACAGGAGUAGAUACCCUGGUAGUCCACGCCCUAAACGAUGUCAACUGGUUGUUGGGUCUUCAUUGACUCAGUAACGAAGCUAACGCGUGAAGUUGACCGCCUGGGGAGUACGGCCUCAAGGUUUAAACUCAAAUGAAUUGACGGGG
RNAcentral lists this ribosomal RNA (395 nucleotides) under uncultured bacterium. RNAcentral's name for it is "partial 16S ribosomal RNA". It matches the Rfam family "Bacterial small subunit ribosomal RNA", at positions 523 to 918 of the family's 1533-position model. The record is from RNAcentral.